Molecule: long non-coding RNA, 2196 nt
Organism: Macaca mulatta (Rhesus monkey)
Lineage: Eukaryota; Metazoa; Chordata; Mammalia; Primates; Cercopithecidae
Source: Ensembl
UGACAGAGCUUUCUACGGUAGUUCAAAAAUUGGAGCGGGCUACCCUGAGGUCACUGGGGUUGUCUCCUGCUUCCCCGCUAGCUCUGGGGAUAAGAAGAUAUCUUAGGAGCUGGAAUUAUAAGGGACUUAGCUUUCCACUUAAUAAAAUCAAAAUAUAAAGGGGGAAAAACUAUUUCUUCUUGUAAAUACAUCCUCUCUGCUAUAGUUCUUCUUCCUUUGGAGGAUCCAGUAGUGUGCUGAAGCUAGCUCCCACUGGCCCAUGAGAACAGAUUGUUACAUAUUCAGGAAUUUUGGAAACGGUUGUUAAACUGUCGGUAGCUCAAAAUUAGCCAUAGUGGGAUCAUUCACAUCACUGAUGACUUGAAACAUUACAAACCAGAGUUUGUUUGCUUUCCUGAGAGUCGGUUUACCUGUUUACCAUUCAUUAUAAGGACUGCAGUUAAUGUUUGUGUUUUUGCCCGUCCAACAUACAUUUCUUAGCCUCUUCUGGUAACGGCAAAUUUCCUUUGGGGAAAUACUGGCAUUUAACUCAGGCCAUGGUUUGAAGGGCCAUAUUCCCUAGGUCCAAGAGUGAGCAUAUGACCUGGGCUUGGCCAAUCAGAGCAUUCCAUCUCCCUGACCACAGUGAUUGGCUCAUAGGUUGUCAUGUGACACAUAUAAAUCAAUUAGAGCUAAUUAAGCAGCUUUUGUGGUACUCCAGGAAAGAUCUUGCCCAUGUGAAGGAGAGAGGUUGUAAGAGCUUAGAAGUGCACUGGACAGCAAACAGUCUGAAGAAAUGGACUCAUGCCAGGUCCAAUGAGCUCUCAAGAUUGGUAGCCACUCAUUUCUACCAAAGAGGUCUUUUGGCUGGUUUGCAUUAUUUCCUGUUUUGGGGAUAGGGUACUUAAAAGUGCCUUCAAGUUCAUAUGGUCUUGUACUCCUGACUUCAAGCUAUUCUCCCACCUCGACCAUCCAAAGUGCUGGGACCACGGGCAUGAAAUACCACGUCUGUCAUCAUGCAGCCUGAAGAAACAUGUGGCAGGCCUCUCACUCUGUUACCACAAAGCACUAUUACUUCAGAUCAUUUACCUCAGCUGCCAACAAUUGGAAACCUGUGGGUCUUCAAACCUGUUCUCUUCGGCUCACAUGGAGUUUUUUAAAUUGGGAAAUUCCACUGACAUUUUCACAGCUUCACUUGAAAAAUCAAAGGACUUGGCAACCCUGCGCCCAUAUUUCCACAGGAAAAAAAACUGGUGGUUGCUGAGCUAUGGAUGAUACCUCCAGCCAGGGAAAAAGGCUCCAUUUCUCCAUAUUCCCCCCCGGCCCCACUCUCUGUAGUCUCACUCAUCUAAACCUAUUUCACUUACUUCUUAUAUCUGGCUAGUCCCCAGAGGCAUGUGAUAUCAUGUCUGUGGAGGUUUUAAAUCAUGACCCUAAAUUCUUUAACACUUCUCUCCUCAAGAGGUGGGGUCUAUGUCCCCUUCCACUGCACCUGGCUGGGCUUGUGACAGCUUUGACAAAUAGAGUAUGGCAGAAGUGACACUAUGUGACCUCUGAGGCUAGGUCAAUAAAGGGCCAAAACGUCUGCCUUAUUGUCUUGGGACACUUGCUGUGGGGGAAGUCAGGUGUUAUGUAAGAAAUACAACUACUCUGAGACUGCCGUGCUGAAGAGACUAUGUGUAGGUGCUCCUGGUGACAGCCCUGACUGAGCUUCCAGGUGACAGUCAGCAUCAACUGCCAACCAUGUGGGUGACCCACCUCGAAGCUGGAUACUCCACCACAGUUGAGUCUUCAGAUGAUUGCAGCCCAGCCAACAUCGAACUGCAGCCGCAUGUGAAACCUGGAUUUGUAGCCUGAGUGUCACGCACAAAAUCAUGAGCAAAGUAGAGUGCUUAUGGUUUUACGGCAUUAAGCUUGGAGUGUUUGUUACACAGCAGGAAUAUCUGGAACGAGGAUGUUUGUUUGGUCUAUUUAACAGGCAUCCAACUUCCACAGGGUGCACUGGAAGAUGAUGUGAGUUCUUUCUUUUUCCAGCGGUUAUCAUGAGAAGUAGGAAUCAGAGUAUAGUAGUGGGUUCAUUCAUUCAUUCAUUCAUUCAUUCAUCCAACAGAUAUUUAUUGGACAUAUACUAUGUGCCAGACAUUUAAAUAAGUGCUGGAAUUUUGGCAGUGGAACAAAGCGGACUAAGAUCUCUGCCCUCACGGAGUUAACAUUCAC